UGGCGGACGGGUGAGUAACGCGUGGGUAACCUGCCUCAUACAGGGGGAUAACAGUUAGAAAUGACUGCUAAUACCGCAUAAGCGCACAGGGCCGCAUGGUCUGGUGUGAAAAACUCCGGUGGUGUAAGAUGGACCCGCGUCUGAUUAGGUAGUUGGUGGGGUAACGGCCCACCAAGCCGACGAUCAGUAGCCGACCUGAGAGGGUGACCGGCCACAUUGGGACUGAGACACGGCCCAAACUCCUACGGGAGGCAGCAUG
Molecule: ribosomal RNA, 259 nt
Filed under: uncultured bacterium
Lineage: Bacteria
Description: partial 16S ribosomal RNA
Rfam family: Bacterial small subunit ribosomal RNA
Source: RNAcentral